AUGAACGCUGGCGGUGUGCCUAAUACAUGCAAGUCGAGCGAAUAGACGAGGAGCUUACUCCUCUGACGAUAGCGGCGGACGGGUGAGUAACACGUGGAUAACCUACCUAUAAGACUGGGAUAACAUCGGGAAACCGGAGCUAAUACCGGAUAACAUGUGGAACCGCAUGGAUCAACAGUGAAAGACGGUCUUGCGGUCACUUAUAGAUGGAUCCGCGUCGCAUUAGCUAGUUGGUAAGGUAACGGCUUACCAAGGCAACGAUGCGUAGCCGACCUGAGAGGGUGAUCGGCCACACUGGAACUGAGACACGGUCCAGACUCCUACGGGAGGCAGCAGUAGGGAAUCUUCCGCAAUGGGCGAAAGCCUGACGGAGCAACGCCGCGUGAGUGAAGAAGGUCUUCGGAUCGUAAAACUCUGUUAUUAGAGAAGAACAAAUGUGUAAGUAACUAUGCGCGUCUUGACGGUACCUAAUCAGAAAGCCACGGCUAACUACGUG
RNAcentral lists this ribosomal RNA (496 nucleotides) under uncultured bacterium. RNAcentral's name for it is "partial 16S ribosomal RNA". It matches the Rfam family "Bacterial small subunit ribosomal RNA", at positions 29 to 507 of the family's 1533-position model. The record is from RNAcentral.